This 491-nucleotide ribosomal RNA is filed under the name uncultured bacterium. RNAcentral describes it as "partial 16S ribosomal RNA". It matches the Rfam family "Bacterial small subunit ribosomal RNA", at positions 29 to 507 of the family's 1533-position model. The record is from RNAcentral.
AGUGAACGCUGGCGGUAGGCCUAACACAUGCAAGUCGAACGGCAGCACAGUAAGAGCUUGCUCUUACGGGUGGCGAGUGGCGGACGGGUGAGGAAUACAUCGGAAUCUACUUUUUCGUGGGGGAUAACGUAGGGAAACUUACGCUAAUACCGCAUACGACCUACGGGUGAAAGCAGGGGAUCUUCGGACCUUGCGCGAUUGAAUGAGCCGAUGUCGGAUUAGCUAGUUGGCGGGGUAAAGGCCCACCAAGGCGACGAUCCGUAGCUGGUCUGAGAGGAUGAUCAGCCAAACGGGAACUGAGACACGGUCCAGACUCCUACGGGGGGCAGCGGUGGGGAAUAUUGGACAAUGGGGGCAAGCCUGAUCAGCCAUACCGCGUGGGUGAAGAAGGCCUUCGGGUUGUAAAGCCCUUUUGUUGGGAAAGAAAAGCAGCAGGUUAAUACCCCGCUGUUCUGACGGUACCCAAAGAAUAAGCACCGGCUAACUUCGUG